This 385-nucleotide ribosomal RNA is filed under the name uncultured bacterium. Its description in RNAcentral is "bacterial SSU rRNA". It matches the Rfam family "Bacterial small subunit ribosomal RNA", at positions 28 to 412 of the family's 1533-position model. The record is from RNAcentral.
GACGAACGCUGGCGGCGUGCUUAACACAUGCAAGUCGAGCGGUAAGGCCCUUUCGGGGGUACACGAGCGGCGAACGGGUGAGUAACACGUGGGUGACCUGCCCUCAGCUCUGGGAUAAGCCCGGGAAACUGGGUCUAAUACCGGAUAUGACUUCAUGACGCAUGUUGUGGAGUGGAAAGCCUUGUGCGGCUGAGGAUGGGGCCCGCGGCCUAUCAGCUUGUUGGUGGGGUGANGGCCUACCAAGGCGACGACGGGUAGCCGGCCUGAGAGGGCGACCGGCCACACUGGGACUGAGAUACGGCCCAGACUCCGUACGGGAGGCAGCAGGUGGGGAAUCUUGCGCAAUGGGCGAAAGCCUGACGCAGCGACGCCGCGUGAGGAUGAC